UACAUCAGUAUACGGGCCCACGUGAUGGGCAAAAAAAAUCUUGAUCUCGAUGUUUCUUCUCCGACCGGCCAUCUUGCAUCUUCCUGGCCUCGAGAUAGAGAUCCAAGGACAGUGGAGCCGCCGCCACGCCGGCGAGGUGCAGGAACUGGGGAGGUCUCGGAGGCGGCGUGACCGGGGUGCCGGUGCGAGCGCAGUGGUGGCGCCGGCGGCCGGCGGAUAAGGAGGCGGCCGCAUACGACUUCGACGCGGACCGCAGACCAGCGCUAAUCUCGUCGGGGCCUCCGACCAGCUCUAGUGUCGCCGGGGGCCGCCGCGAUGAAGCCUCUCGACCGCGGCGGGGAAGCGGUUGGUGGAAUCUUCCUCGGCGUUGACCUCACGAAGCCGGCCGGCCGCCCGGCACGUUGUCUCCCUCGGCGCACUAAGGGGCGUGGGGCUCAUGGUGUGCUUCCAGUUUAAGCUCUGGUGGAUGGCGCAACGGAUAGGCGAGGAGUAUGCAGGUGUUAUCGGUAUCGAUUUCAACAAAGAUCGAUUACUGGAUCUUAACGAAGAUAUGAUGCAAUCAGAGCAGCAAGCCUUGGAUGCGCCAGCAACGAAAGAGGAUUUGGAAACGGGCUCACUGGGCCAACAAGACGGAAUGGGAAGUGAAUCAAGCAAACCAUAUGGGGGGCAGAACAAAUUGUCCGUAUACGUGCAGAGGAACGGCGAUGACGACUAAACGGCAGCCAGAUCUCGUGCAUUGUGUUGAAUCUUGCUUAGCAAAGCUGCUGCGGCUGGAUCUGGCAUCCAGGCCAAGUGCUCCAUGUGUUCACGCUGCACUGAAGCUCGAGCUCCUGCCUCUGGGUGCGCAAGCUGCAGUGCUUCCUUGAGGGAGCAUCACUUGUUCCUGUGCAUUGCCUCAAUAAGCAGUAACUGGUGGAGGGCGAUGCUAGGCAUCACAGCACAAUGCCGGCCAAGAGUUGGAUCAAGUCAGGUGCGCAAGGGAAGCACUCGACCUCUCAUCUAGCCCAACCUGCAGUCGUCCACAUAUGUCAUAGAGCAAAGAGCACGUGUGUAACAAUUACUAUUAUUUCAUGUUUGAUAACAUAUUUGCGUCACCCGCAAAUUUUGGUAAAUAUCUUUUGCAUAGAUAUUGAUUAAAAUAUAAUUAAAUAUUUUUAGCAUCCAAAAAUAUAUGUGCAUCUUGAACAAAUAAUAUCUCAAAUCGUGUGAUGCACAAAUAGUUGUGCAUGACCUCAUGUAAUUAGUUGUACGUGUUAGUGUACCAAAUAAUUGAUUGGAUGAUGCUCUCAAUUUCUUGCAAAAA
Molecule: long non-coding RNA, 1303 nt
Organism: Panicum virgatum (switchgrass)
Lineage: Eukaryota; Viridiplantae; Streptophyta; Magnoliopsida; Poales; Poaceae
Exons: 4
Source: RefSeq, a predicted model, not a curated record